RNAcentral lists this small nuclear RNA (23 nucleotides) under Arabidopsis thaliana (thale cress). Its description in RNAcentral is "snRNA_13957". Lineage: Eukaryota; Viridiplantae; Streptophyta; Magnoliopsida; Brassicales; Brassicaceae. The record is from RNAcentral.
CAUACCAGCACUAAUGCACCGGA